Molecule: long non-coding RNA, 641 nt
Filed under: Mytilus galloprovincialis (Mediterranean mussel)
Lineage: Eukaryota; Metazoa; Mollusca; Bivalvia; Mytilida; Mytilidae
Source: RNAcentral
UUUAACUGGAUAAUACUCAAAUUCAUUUAUUCAUUAAUUCAUUUCAUUUUCAUUUCAUCUUUUAGAAAAAGGGGGAUGUCACAUACCGUAAUAUUGACAUAUCUUAACCGGAUACGAUCCGGACAUUAUUGUUAUAUAUUAUAAUACUCUCCUGUAUAGAAGGUUAAUAAAAUAUCUUGUUAUUGUCAAUAGGCCACAGACCACAAUUAAAUUCUCUAUUAGUUCUUUAUAACGUUUUGUUUCAUUAAAAAAAUUGCACCUAAUCUUUUUGUCAAAUCUUUUGUGUGUGUAAAGUACAGUUCUAGUCCAAAACUAUAUCCAAAAUUCAGAAAGAUUGCUCCUCUGUAUUUUACAAAUUCAGCCAAUACACAUCCAUACCCCUAUGGACAAGUCAAAAGAUGUUCCGAAAACUGUAAAUAUCACCUUUUUGCACCUGGCCUAAUCACUCUUUCCAUAUCAAAAUCAGUUAAAAUAAAACAUCCAACAGUUUAUUUUACCUCUCUUCUUUCAUUUCCACCCCAGAAAAGCUAAGAAAUGUAUGAGAAAGGGAAAGAAAAAAAAUAAGAAAAAAUACACUAUAAUUAAAGGGAACUAUAUUCGUGGACAACGAAAAGUGGGAUCAUUAAUUGUGGUCUUGGGCC